RNAcentral lists this unclassified non-coding RNA (332 nucleotides) under soil metagenome. RNAcentral describes it as "partial contains 5.8S ribosomal RNA, internal transcribed spacer 2, and large subunit ribosomal RNA". The stretch from base 1 to 120 matches the Rfam family "5.8S ribosomal RNA", at positions 35 to 154 of the family's 154-position model. The record is from RNAcentral.
GAUGAAGAACGUAGCGAAAUGCGAUAAGUAGUGUGAAUUGCAGAAUUCAGUGAAUCAUCGAAUCUUUGAACGCACAUUGCGCCCUUUGGUAUUCCUUAGGGCAUGCCUGUUCGAGCGUCAUUUAAACCUUCAAGCUCAGCUUGGUGUUGGGUGACUGUCCGCUUCACCGCGGACUCGCCUCAAAAUUAUUGGCGGCCGGUACAUUGGCUUCGAGCGCAGCAGAAACGCGAACUCGGGCCCGUCGUAUUGGCUCCCAGAAGCUAUCUUCACAGUUUUGACCUCGGAUCAGGUAGGGAUACCCGCUGAACUUAAGCAUAUCAAUAAGCGGAGGA